Molecule: ribosomal RNA, 482 nt
Filed under: uncultured bacterium
Lineage: Bacteria
Description: partial 16S ribosomal RNA
Rfam family: Bacterial small subunit ribosomal RNA
Source: RNAcentral
GACGAACGCUGGCGGCGUGCUUAACACAUGCAAGUCGAACGCUGAAGCUCAGCUUGCUGGGUGGAUGAGUGGCGAACGGGUGAGUAACACGUGAGUAACCUGCCCUCUUCUUUGGGAUAACGCCCGGAAACGGGUGCUAAUACUGGAUAUUCACUGAUUCUCGCAUGGGGGUUGGUGGAAAGGUUUUUUCUGGUGGGGGAUGGGCUCGCGGCCUAUCAGCUUGUUGGUGGGGUGAUGGCCUACCAAGGCUUUGACGGGUAGCCGGCCUGAGUGGGUGACCGGUCACAUUGGGACUGAGAUACGGCCCAGACUCCUACGGGAGGCAGCAGUGGGGAAUAUUGCACAAUGGGCGAAAGCCUGAUGCAGCGACGCCGCGUGAGGGAUGGAGGCCUUCGGGUUGUAAACCUCUUUCGCUCAUGGUCAAGCCGCAGCUUUGGGUUGUGGUGAGGGUAGUGGGUAAAGAAGCGCCGGCUAACUACGUG